CUCAGUCAAUGUAAACACCCUACACUCUCAGCUGUGCGCCAUUGGUUAGCUGGGAGUGGGGUGUUUAUGUUGACUGCC
Molecule: microRNA precursor, 78 nt
Filed under: Petromyzon marinus (sea lamprey)
Lineage: Eukaryota; Metazoa; Chordata; Hyperoartia; Petromyzontiformes; Petromyzontidae
Description: microRNA pma-mir-30f precursor (pma-mir-30f-1)
Gene: pma-mir-30f-1
Rfam family: mir-30 microRNA precursor family
About the family: This family consists of the mammalian microRNA (miRNA) precursor mir-30a. Animal miRNAs are transcribed as ~70nt precursors and subsequently processed by the Dicer enzyme to give a ~22nt product.
Source: miRBase by way of RNAcentral